GUCUCUUUGAAGGUGUAAAGAGUCUGGCCUGCCCGCUGAAUUAUUGAAGGGCCGCGGUAUUUCUGACCGUGCGAAGGUAGCAUAAUAAUUUGUUUUUUAAUUGAAGGCUUGUAUGAAAGGUUGGACGAGGGAAAAACUGUCUCUGUUAAAAAACUUGAAAUUAACUUUUAGGUGAAAAGGCCUAAAUAAAUUGGAAAGACGAUAAGACCCUAUAAAUCUUGACAUUAAUCUUUUUUAGUUUUUCGAUUUAUAUGUAAAAGAAAAAGUAAUUUUGAUUGUGUUGUAUUGGGGCGAUAAAAAUAUAGUAUUAUUAACUGUUUUAUAUUAAAAACAAAAAUUCUUGAAUUUAUUAGAGAUCCUUUAUAUAGAUUAAAAGAUUAAGUUACUUUAGGGAUAACAGCGUUAUUUUUCUUGAGAGUCCUUAUCGAGAGAAAAGUUUGCGACCUCGAUGUUGAAUUAAAAUAUCUUUAUGGUGCAGAAGUCAUAAUAGUAAGUCUGUUCGACUUUUAAAAUUUU
RNAcentral lists this ribosomal RNA (516 nucleotides) under Aniculus retipes. RNAcentral's name for it is "partial 16S ribosomal RNA". It matches the Rfam family "Bacterial large subunit ribosomal RNA", at positions 1819 to 2597 of the family's 2925-position model. The record is from RNAcentral. Lineage: Eukaryota; Metazoa; Arthropoda; Malacostraca; Decapoda; Diogenidae.